GUCAUUUGCAAAAGCAAGGAGAAUUUCUUUUGUGCAAAUCGAAGUAAAAAUUGAAUUUCCUAUCCAUAAAAGUGCAGAAAUGUCGACUGAUUGGGAUGAAAUAAAGCGUUUGGCAGCUGAUUUCCAAAAAGUCCAGCUCUCUUCAACGCUACAAAGGCUUUCAGAAAGGAACUGUAUUGAGGUUGUUUCAUUACUGUUGGAGAAGGGGCUUCUUGAAAUAAUCUACACGAACGAUGGCAAAGAAUAUCUUACACCGGAUCAAUUGUCUACGGAGAUUCAAGAUGAAUUAUAUGUGAAUGGAGGCCGCGUCAACUUGACGGAAGUCUCAAAUACUUUGAACGUGGAUCUGAAUAAGAUAACGGGGAUCGCUAAUAAGAUAACUCAACGGAACAAGAGUGUUCACUUAAUUUUGGGACAAUUAAUCAACGAGGAUUAUAUUCAGCGGCUGGCUUUGGAGAUCAAUGAAAAACUCAUUCAAAGUGGUGAAAUAUCGGCUGCUGCUCUGGCCGAACAGUACGAUUUGCCAUCUGAUUUUAUUUUGCAGAAGAUUAUUGAACCGAAUGUCGGUAAAACAAUCCUGGGAAAGAGAGAUUCAUCGGAUCCUAAAGUCUUUUUCACGCAAACCUACAUUUCACGAUGUAAGGCCAAAAUUCGAGGUGCUCUAUCUGCACUGUCGCGUCCAACGCCCAUUUCGUCGAUCUUGGGUCAAUGCAAGAUAAAAGAAAAAAUAUUCUACUCCCUUGUUGACGAGAUCUCAUUUGAUGGGAGCGUGACAUCGAAGAUGUCUGGCGCUCAGUACAUUCCCAAUGUGUAUAAGAAGGCCCAGAAUGAAUGGGUGACAUCCUUAUUUAAGCAAAACGGAUAUGUGCAACAUGAUACUCUCUCACAUUUUGGAAUAUCUGAUAUUAAGGUGUUUAUUCAGCGACAGCUGCCUAAUGAAAACUUGGUACACUUGAAAAAGUGUACUGUAGGCAAGAGAUUUGUUGAGCAACUGGAAGCUGCCAUUGAGGAAUGUGUAUCUAGUGGGUCGUAUUUGGAUGUCACGACUAUCCUCCCAACCGAUUUGACACAGGAGGACAUUGACAAAUUGCUAGAAACCGCUAUAAAGCCCACAACGUCAAGGAGUAUUCUGGUACUAGACACAACCAUUUUCACCAAUGCCUUCCUAGAUCGUCUCGUAGCGCCCGUAAAGCAGAUCAUUGAAGAUAAUGUGAAGAAGGCGGUCGAAAGUGGUAUAUAUCAACAAUACUUGGUGGAGAAAUUAUCUUCGAGUCGACAGAUUGGGUAUCAAGAAGGAACAGGUGAUGCAAAGGCAGAUCGACGAGAAGAGAGACGUCGAAAAGCUGCAGUUGGGAAAGGUGGUGGGGGUACACAAGGUCGUGAGACCAAGACCAAGUCCACGAAAAAACAUUACAGAGGUGGAGGGGGUGAUAAAGGAGGAUUUAACUCGGAUUCUGAUGAUAAUAACCAUAAUAACAGAACUUCAAAGAAAAAGUCAACAAACAUGGAUUUGAUUACUUUGAAGGAAAUAAUUCAAGUUGUUGAGUCAUCUUUGAACUGUGAAGAAUUGUGCUACCUUGCAAAAGAUAUAGCGCUUCAUUUCUAUCCGCAAUAUAGUAAGGAGGCACUCCAGAAGGCAAAUCAAGUAUAUGAGGCGAGUUUGCAGAAUUCCACGCAGAAUCGUCGUCAAACACAUGCGUCACUACAAGAGAAGUUAAAUAAUCUUCUCACUGAUGUGCGUCUGUACGAGAAGGGACUGAAGCUCUUCCCCUCUGACGACCAACAGCAAUUGAUCAAGUAUCUGCUAAAGACUCUCGGCACGGAAAUCUGCAAUGAGCUUUUCUUUUAUGUAGCCAUGGAGUGUAGUCUCAAUUUUAGCUCAUCUUCUCUCAUGCCAGAUCAGAGAAGUAGCAUUAUACAGGAAUGUGGUCAGGAGUACAAGUCCGCUCUGGCGUCUCUUAACAAAAGUCUUGGCGGACAAUCUGUAGAUGAUUUUCUUAUGGUGUCUGAAAAUGCAUUGCAAGAGUGUAGUAUGAUUCUGAAGAAAGUCGACAAGAAGAAAGAUCGAUCAGUCAUCUUAGCACACAAGUACGGUCUUCUUGAGCAACUGGGCAAUUGCUCUGAUCCUGCACUUGUUCUUCACUUGACGUGUCUCGUCAUCUUUACUAUCUCUACGCAGUGUAUGCUACACGCUUCGGGGCGCCAUGUGGCAACCAUUCUGACCUUUUUACAACCACAAUUGCAAACUGAACAGGCUCAACUUCUUAUGAAAUAUCACGAUCUCGUGUUGAAGGUCUUGACUGCGCCUGAGGGAGAUGUUGAAGCGAAAUCGGAAAUGCUUUGUCAGCUUGAGGACUUGACACCGGCCGUAAAGGAUUUGGCGUCCUCUUUCAAGAAGACUACAUUGUCGACAAAUGAAUAAUAUGCGGUUCAAGAACACGUCAAUUGCUGGACUAUGUGUCGUAUAAAAUUUAAUUAGCAUCGUGGCAAUUUUGCCCGCCCGCAAUAAAUUAUGGCUUGGCAGCAAACAGAGAAAUUGCCCUGACUCGACAUUCCAAUGUGUGUACUUUAAUGGAAAAAAGGUGGAAACUUUUUGACCAGCACAAUUAACUUGGGUGACUUUUGCGUCAAAUAGAUUGAGUGCGAUCUGAGAUCCAAAGUCUACUAGAGUGUGAAAGAGUGUGAGAAUGGCACGACUUUUGGGAACGGCGAAGUCAGACUUUCCAAUGGUUCCCUGGGCAACGACAAGCACAACAAGCAGGCGAAGGUGGUGG
Molecule: RNA transcript, 2774 nt
Organism: Phlebotomus argentipes
Lineage: Eukaryota; Metazoa; Arthropoda; Insecta; Diptera; Psychodidae
Gene: Ufl1
Gene name: E3 UFM1-protein ligase 1 homolog
Exons: 8
Source: RefSeq, a predicted model, not a curated record